Molecule: ribosomal RNA, 469 nt
Filed under: uncultured bacterium
Lineage: Bacteria
Description: bacterial SSU rRNA
Rfam family: Bacterial small subunit ribosomal RNA
Source: RNAcentral
ACGAACGCUGGCGGCGUGCCUAAUGCAUGCAAGUCGAACGAGGUCCAACCAGUGGCAACACUGGGGAAGACCUAGUGGCGAACGGGUGAGUAACACGUGAGGAACCUGCCCCGAAGACCGGGAUAACCCUCCGAAAGGAGAGCUAAUACCGGAUGUCCCCACCGAGUCGCAUGGCUUGGUGAGGAAAUGCUUUUGUGCUUCGGGAGGGCCUCGCGGCCUAUCAGCUUGUUGGUGGGGUAACGGCCUACCAAGGCGUCGACGGGUAGCUGGUCUGAGAGGACGAUCAGCCACACUGGGACUGAGACACGGCCCAGACUCCUACGGGAGGCAGCAGCAGGGAAUCUUGCGCAAUGGGCGAAAGCCUGACGCAGCAACGCCGCGUGGGGGAUGAAGGCCCUCGGGUUGUAAACCCCUUUCAGUAGGGACGAAAUCAGACGGUACCUACAGAAGAAGCCCAGGCCAACUACGU